AGCAGGCUGCUCAGAGCCCUGUUCCCAAGGAUGGGGCAUGCACAGCCUCUGUGCACAGCCUGGGCCAGUGCCCCACCACCCCCAGUGGAAAAGAGCAGCUUCCUUAGAUGCAGCUUCCAUCAUCCUGCUGCAGUUGAAAGCCAUCCCCCCUUGUCCUGUCAGCACAGGCCCUGCUGAACACUCUGUCCCCUUCUUUCCUGGGGCAGCCUUCCAGUCCUGCACAGCCACAGGGAGGCCUCCCAGUGUCUCCUCUCUCCAGGCUGAGCAUCCCCAGCCCCACUUGCCCAGCAGUCAGUCACAUCAGGGCCAGUCCAGGCUGAAGGGUAGCAAAUAGCAUCAGGAACUGAGAGAUGCAAGCUUUAAACCCAGCUUUGUCUCUAAAUGUACAAAAUUAAUAACAGUGGAUGGGAAGAUGGUGGGACACUGCUUCUGUUCUAUCUGGUGAUUUAUUUUUCUUCUUUUCUGUCAUGCUGCCCCAAGUUUUUCUGUUUGAAAGGAAGCUUGGCACAAUGUCCAUUGUCUUCUCCAUUUGUGAAACACCAACCGGAGUCUGGGCAGGCUGAUGAUGCAGAGCAAAACCUGAAAAUAUACUAGUGAUCCUGAGCCUGGGAGAUGCAGCUAAACCCAGCCAAAAGCAAUUUCUGGAGAGCCAAGCCUGGUUUACAUUUUCUUGAGUGUGGCUAUGCCAACUUCCCCAGUCAUUUCUAAAAAAGCAAACAAAAACUCACACCAAAACAGACAAAAACCCAAACAAACAAACCCACACAAACCAAUCCAACAAAUAGAUAAAAAACCCCAAAUAAAACCAAAGGGAAUGAGGAGUUAGUAUUAGUGGUGAGAAUAGCACAGCGGGUAAAUGGUUGCUUCCCACAGGAUCAUCAUCAAAAGCCACAUAGAACAGCUGCUCCAAAAUAUACCCAACAGGAGAAAAAGAAAAAGUGAGACAUGGCAACUUUGGGGGCAGCUCCACAUUCAGGUGAAGGAUGAGCACGCAGUGGUACAGAUCCAGCAUUGCCCACCCUCCAGGCUGCUCUUUGCUCCUGAUGAAAGACCCUUGCAGGACUGUGGCCCCUCUCAGUGCAGUGUCAGUCACUGCCAGAGCUCUCAGCUGAGCCACUGGCAUUUCCAGAGCGACAUCCAGGCACAAUCCUGCUGCCUGCUGAGCACCUGUGGAAGAUCCUCAGCAUCUUCAUGCCUAGCAGCACAAAACAGCUCAGGAUUUCUCUGAACUGCUUUUCAGGAGAGGUUUCCAUAUCCCUGUGAGAUCUGUUCAUCCCUCAACACGUCUGACUUGGUGUACAAUGAUGCAUUUGGGUUCCUCCCUUCCUCCUGUGUGCCAGUGAGAAACCAUCCAUGGGAAUGGAGGAUGUUGUGUGCAGGGCAAUGUAUUCCUGGCUUGCCACUGUCACUCAGCUGAACAUGGUCCUUGUCUAAGAAGGACUUCGAAGAAAUGGGUAGGAAUUUUGGCUCUGAGAGGAGCAGAAAGCAUAUUUUCUAGACCACAUUGCCAGCAGAUGCCGUUUCCCUGGCAGAACAGUGAUUGCCACUCAUCUUCCUGGGAAGAAUGUCAAGACCCAUUCAGAGAUCCCAGGUUCAGCUGGCCUUUGGCUUUGUCUACCUCAUUUCACACAUCCACUUUCAAGGGCCAUUAGAAGAGGCACAUGUCUGCCUUGCUACCCAGAAGUGCUGUAGUUAUUCCCAGAAAAAAAAAAAACAACCAAAAAUUGGCGGUCCUGUGGUGUGGUAGAAAUCCCAUCACAACUGUGACUCUGUGAGCAAAGACAGCCGGUGCUUUUUGGGGCUGUAACAGCUGAGAGUGUGGCAGAGCAGGUUUGAUAUUCUUUUUAGAGUCCUGAAAACAUUGUUCCCAAAACAAUCUUUCUCUCCUGUCUUUUGUCAUCAACUGUGGAACAGAGGAAAUGGAAGGGAUCAGAGGUUUGUUUAAAUUUGCGCUUAUUUUUAAUUCUUCAAAUAGUGUCAGCUCGAUGCGUGAUACUUUAGAAAUUGGAUGAGUAGCACCUAUUUCAUCCCAGCAGAGGGGUGGGAUUGAAGACUUCCAACAACAGAAACACUGGAUGUGUAAGAGCUCAGUUUUCCACCCCUCACACAAGUAACUUGCUGUACUAUUUUCAGCAGCCUCAGCCAGAUCGAUUAAAAUACUGCUCCAAACAACAACAGAAUGAAAAUCUUCCACCAAAUGGGGAAAAGGAAGAAAAGUGGGCCGCAGCCCUUUCUUCAGAGCUUGUGUUGAUUUUGCCAAGUCAGAUGCAAACAAGGUUUGCCAUAUUUCUUUCCUAGAAAAAUGCAGCUCUUGAAUAGAAAUCUAUCUCUGAGGCUGCUAAGUUGAGUAUGAUUUUAGAGCUGGGAGGAGCAAAACAGGUUCCAGAGAAGCUGUGGUUGUGUCACCCUUGGAAGUGUUCAGGGCCAGGUUGGAUGGGGCUUGGAGCAACCUUGUUAGCGGAAGGUGUCCUGAGCCUGGUGAGUCCCUGAAAAGAAACUUUUGGUUUUCCUGAAAUGCUGCCUUUGCAAGGGGAGGUCACAACUACCCCACGUAAUUUGAAAUGCCCUGAGCAGAACCCAACUGUGCUUUCUCGCAGGUGAGGAGGGAUUUUCACUUGUAUUUUAUGGAGGAUUUUGACAGGGCAGAGCAAGAGCAGCUGAAUGUGUUUGACAGGCAAAGAGGGCCAGUGUGGCAGCAGCUUAAUUCCAUGGAGCUUUUCCUUCUGUGAUCCUGUACAACCUGAGGCAGCACUCUGGGGCUCUUGAACCUGGCAGCUGGGCAAGUUAAUCAUUGGAACAAGUGAUAAAUUAAGCUGCUCCACUCUCUUGAGCAUGGGUGUGAUGAGCCUUAAGUAAACCUGUGAGCACUUGUCAGGAUGGGAGCUUGUUCUUUGCCAGGGAGGAGGGAGAAAAUAUUGCUUGGAGUAAAUAAAGCAACUCUGCUUCCCCUGGAAGAGGAAAAGAAGGAAUUAAACAUGUGAAUGCUGCAUGGAGUCAUUUGCACAAGGCUAUAUCUUGUCUGCUAUGCAGGAAUGUUCUCAAUAAACCAGGCUUCUCCUGAUCAUUAUUUUUCUGGGUUUCCACCACACGAUACAAGAGACUCUCACCUGAAAAAAACAAAACACGCUGUAGGGAGGCAAUAUUUCCUUUCUUCAGGCGUUCCCUUUUUUUGUUCUCUCCAGAGCUCUCCCUUCAUUUCUGCUGCUGUUUGGAGCACGUGCUUACCUCUUUGCUGAUCCCCUGGGCUUCUUUUGGCUCUGGGUGUCAUGGACACUAUUAAUGGUGGGUUCUUUCCCCUUCAUCUUCUUCUGUUUCUUCAUGUGGUUUACCUUCAUUUACCUGUUGGAGUGAUGGAUUUUUCUCACCCUUUAUUACUUGGUGCUUUUUCUUCAUUCUCCAAAACCAACUUCUCACUUGCCCUGUGGCUGUUAGGUGCCAGUUAUGGGAGCAUGAAUUCUUUCUCUAGCCCUUGUCUGAGCUUUCUCGGGGAGCUGAGAGCUCUUUGGGGUUCAACUUGACUCACUUCAGCGCCUUCCUUGCUGCUGCCUGUGUCCUUCGACACUUGAAGGGAAUAAAAUCUCAGUGUGGAGAUGACAGCUGUGAAAUGAUGGCUCUUUUGGAGAAGACAAGAAUGCUGUUGUCAGUCUUUUCAAGGAUAAACUGAGCACCUGGUUUUGGGGAGAAACAGGCUCAGCUCAGCACAGAGGUGGCUGUUGCAAGUGCCCAGGUUUGGAGGGAAGGCUGCAGCUCCUGGGGGUGUGUUGGUGUGGGGCUAUAAGGUUUGUGCUGGGUCCCUGGAGCAGUGGGAACACCCCACUGCGAGAGGCACAUCAGGAAAUGGGUGCAGAAAGGGCCUGAAGUGUGACCAGCUAUAGUGAAGGGUUCCAUAGGAAAUCAUAUUUUUACUGAGAUUUUGGACAAUUUGAGGCUCCUUCUCGUGUCCUUUGCCCGAUGAACAUUCCCCCUUUGCAAGAGCUUGGGGAAUCCUGAGGUCACACAAUGAAAAUCCCUGAUCAUGAUAUCUUUUUUCUAUCCUUUGAUGUUGUCAUCCCAGCAGGAGUCAGAGGAAGAGAAUAUGUGUGACCUGCCUGGCUUUAACAAUGUGCCAGGAACAAUGCCAUGGAGAAGCUGGUCAGAGGAGCAUCUGAGAAGUGUGUGCUACAUCAGUGAUGUCCUACUACUGAUCUUUGCACAGAGAUGAAAAAGUAUCCGUUUGCAUGGCCUGAAUGUCUGGCUCUGGACAUUCUGCAUUACACAAGAUGUGCUGAGCUCAUCUGGCUCUGAAAGAUCAUCUCUGCACCUUAGCCAGGAACAGCAUCAGAGUUCUGAACAGAUGCAUCAAAAUCAGUCAUAACCCAGAGGCAAACCUUGGCAAUACACAUGUGUGGCAGGUUUUUCUGUUUGAAAGGAAGCUUGGCACAAUGUCCAUUGUCUUCUCCAUUUGUGAAACACCAAGCGGAGUCUGGGCAGGCUGAUGAUGCAGAGCACAACCUGAAAAUAUACUAGUGAUCCUGAGCCUGGGGGAUGCAGCUAAACCCAGCCAAAAGGAAUUUCUGAAAAGCUGAUCCUGGUUUAUAUUUUCUUGAGUGUGGCUAUGCCAACUUCCCCAGUCAUUUCUAAAAAAGCAAACAAAAACUCAAGCCAAUUCAGACAAAAACCCAAACAAACAAACAAACAAACAAACCCACGCAAACCAAUCCAACAACUAGAUAAAAAAACCCAAAUAAAACCAAAGGGAAUGAGGAAUUAGUAUUAGUGGUGAGAAUAGCACAGCGGGUAAAUGGUUGCUUCCCACAGGAUCACCAUCAAAAGCCACAUAGAACAGCUGCUCCAAAAUAUACCCAAGAGGAGAAAAAGAAAAAGUGAUGCAUGGCAACUUUGGGGGCAGCUCCACAUUCAGGUGAAGGAUGAGCACGCAGUGGUACAGAUCCAGCAUUGCCCACCCUCCAGGCUGCUCUUUGCUCCUGAUGAAAGACCCUUGCAGGACUGUGGCCCCUCUCAGUGCAGUGUCAGUCACUGCCAGAGCUCUCAGCUGAGCCACUGGCAUUUCCAGAGCGACAUCCAGGCACAAUCCUGCUGCCUGCUGAGCACCUGUGGAAGAUCCUCAGCAUCUUCAUGCCUAGCAGCACAAAACAGCUCAGGAUUUCUCUGAACUGCUUUUCAGGAGAGGUUUCCAUAUCCCUGUGAGAUCUGUUCAUCCCUCAACACGUCUGACUUGGUGUACAAUGAUGCAUUUGGGUUCCUCCCUUCCUCCUGUGUGCCAGUGAGAAACCAUCCAUGGGAAUGGAGGAUGUUGUGUGCAGGGCAAUGUAUUCCUGGCUUGCCAUUUUGCUUCACUGUCACUCAGCUGAACAUGAUCCCUAUCUAAGAAGGACUUCGGAGAAAUGGGUAGGAAUUUUGGCUCUGAGAGGAGCAGAAAGCAUAUUUUCUAGACCACAUUGCCAGCAGAUGCCGUUUCCCUGGCAGAACAGUGAUUGCCACUCAUCUUCCUGGGAAGAAUGUCAAGACCCAUUCAGAGAUCCCAGGUUCAGCUGGCCUUUGGCUUUGUCUACCUCAUUUCACACAUCCACUUUCAAGGGCCAUUAGAAGAGGCACAUGUCUGCCUUGCUCCCCAGAAGUGCUGUAGUUAUUCCCAGGAAAAAAAAAAAAAAAAAAAACAACCAAAAACUGGCGGUCCUGUGGUGUGGUAGAAAUCCCAUCACAACUGUGACUCUGUGAGCAAAGACAGCCGGUGCUUUUUGGGGCUGUAACAGCUGAGAGUGUGGCAGAGCAGGUUUGAUAUUGUUUUUAGACUCCUGAAAACAUUGUUCCCAAAACAAUCUUUCUCUCCUGUCUUUUGUCAUCAACUGUGGAACAGAGGAAAUGGAAGGGAUCAGAGGUUUGUUUAAAUUUGCGCUUAUUUUUAAGUCUUCAAAUAGUGUCAGCUCGAUGCGUGAUACUUUAGAAAUUGGAUGAGUAGCACCUAUUUCAUCCCAGCAGAGGGGUGGGAUUGAAGACUUCCAACAACAGAAACACUGGAUGUGUAAGAGCUCAGUUUUCCACCCCUCACACAAGUAACUUGCUGUACUAUUUUCAGCAUCCUCAGCCAGAUCGAUUAAAAUACUGCUCCAAACAACAACAGAAUGAAAAUGUUCCGCCAAAUGGGGAAAAGGAAGAAAAGUGGGCCGCAGCCCUUUCUUCAGAGCUUGUGUUGAUUUUGCCAAGUCAGAUGCAAACAAGGUUUGCCAUAUUUCUUUCCUAGAAAAAUGCAGCUAUUGAAUAGAAAUCUACCUCUGAGGCUGCUAAGUUGAGUGCGAUUUUAUAGCUGGGAGGAGCAAAACAGGUUCCAGAGAAGCUGUGGUUGUGUUACCCUUGGAAGUGUUCAGGGCCAGGUUGGAUGGGGCUUGGAGCAACCUUGUUAGCGGAAGGUGUCCUGAGUCUGGUGAGUCCCUGAAAAGAAACUUUUGGUUUUCCUGAAAUGCUGCCUUUGUAAGGGGAGGUCACAACUACCCCACGUAAUUUGAAAUGCCCUGAGCAGAACCCAACUGUUUUUUCUCACAGGUGAGGAGGGAUUUUCACUUGUAUUUUAUGGAGGAUUUUGACAGGGCAGAGCAAGAGCAGCUGAAUGGGUUUGACAGGCAAAGAGGGCUAGUGUGGCAGCAGCUUAAUUCCAUGGAGCUUUUCCUUCUGUGAUCCCGUACAACCUGAGGCAGCACUCUGGGGCUCUUGAACCUGGCAGCUGGGCAAGUUAAUCAUUGGAACAAGUGAUAAAUUAAGCUGCUCCACUCUCUUGAGCAUGGGUGUGAUGAGCCUUAAGUAAACCUGUGAGCACUUGUCAGGAUGGGAGCUUGUUCUUUGCCAGGGAGGAGGGAGAAAAUAUUGCUUGGAGUAAAUAAAGCAACUCUGCUUCCCCUGGAAGAGGAAAAGAAGGAAUUAAAUAUGUGAAUGCUGCAUGGAGUCAUUUGCACAAGGCUAUAUCUUGUCUGCUAUGCAGGAAUGUUCUCAAUAAACCAGGCUUCUCCUGACCAUUA
Long non-coding RNA from Passer domesticus (house sparrow), 7010 nucleotides. RefSeq lists it as uncharacterized. The transcript is spliced from 2 exons. The record is from RefSeq and is a predicted model, not a curated record. Lineage: Eukaryota; Metazoa; Chordata; Aves; Passeriformes; Passeridae.